GCCAGGCCACUCCACCUCCCGGGAGUUACUGCUUGGCCGGCAGGGGGCGCGCCGUCAUCUGGUUCCAGCCUGCAAGGCGUACAGAACUGAAGCAUAAACAGGAUUGAACUUCCAAAGAACAGAUUUCUGAGCUUAUUAUUGGCAUCGUGAACCCAGACAUUUUAGUAUUGACCUUUCUCCCUUCAGAUUUACACUGCGGCACUGUACAGAGGCAGAGGAGGAGUGUUUGCUGGUGUGGCAAGCUUUACUGUUUGGCAGCACAGGAAAAAGCUUUCCUGGAAUCAGGUCUAACCAAGAAACUCAAAGGAAUGAAGUUCUGGUAGCCACAGCAGGGCAGCUGAAGGAUCCUGGUAUCUGCGCGUCGUUCUUACUGGCGAGACGUUGGGCGCGCGAUAUUUGGUGCCGAAACCUGGGACAAACACCUCGCCAUCGCCGGCGCCGAGGAGAGCCUUCGCUCGCGGAGAGGGUCCAGAACUGCAGGUCGAAAGGAUGCUACAGGAGUGUGCCAGCUGCCUGAGUGGUUGGUGAGACCUGCUGAUCCUGGGAGCAUGAAGAUUCAUUCAGCUCUCCUGGUUUGGGUCCCUGGAGUCAUUCCUGUGCCCUUAGAUGAGGAUUCCCCCUCAUCUUUUGUCAUCACAGAGAUUUUGGCGUUGCUGCAGUCAGUGUUACCACUGCGUGUGUCCCGCCCCACCGCGGCCUACGCUCCAACCCUCUGUGCACUGCUGCUUGCUAGAGAAGACUGGACUCCAGCUGUUACCCCUGCCCCCCUCAUUCCCCUGGUGACUCUUGCUGCCUUAACUGGUGUUGUCAUUUUGCAGUCUGUAGCUUCACAGGAAUGCCACCUGCGUGAAGCUGCUGUGGACUGGGGAACUGUGCCCUGGUUGUGCAGAUCUCAGACAUGGUUGCAUUGCCUGCUGGUUGUUCCAGAGAAGAAUGACUGAUCCUGAACUGUCCUGGGAAAGACCUUGGCAUUUUCGCUGCUAUUGUAGCAGCCAUUACUGCUGCAGCCAUUGUGUCUGCAGUGUCUGGAGUUACCCUCCCCCAAUCUAUUGUUAGGCAAGCACAGUGGGUGAACUUUCUGGAGUAGUUGCUAACAAUUGGGAAUUCUAAAUUUUAUUAUAGGAGCGGCUUGACUACGGCCCUUGGUGGUAACAGCUGAGGAGAACCAGAUGAGGUGCCCACUACUUAUUGGGAG
Molecule: long non-coding RNA, 1195 nt
Organism: Rattus norvegicus (Norway rat)
Lineage: Eukaryota; Metazoa; Chordata; Mammalia; Rodentia; Muridae
Source: Ensembl